Long non-coding RNA from Homo sapiens (human), 734 nucleotides. Ensembl annotates it as MIR7515 host gene. The record is from Ensembl. NCBI's taxonomy places the organism in Eukaryota, Metazoa, Chordata, Mammalia, Primates, Hominidae.
UUGACAGUUUGGCUUCCCUGUUCUGGGUGGCAAAGCCUGUGGAGUACUCACCUACCUGCUGCAUGAAGGCAGCAUGGAGGGACUGUGGUGGAUUAUCUGCAAAGAUGGCCAAAAUUCUCUCAUCCCUGCAGGCACAUACAAGGUUGUUGCAUGGCAUAAGUAAAGUGACAGUUAUAGGAUACAUGCAACUUUUCAGUGACAAAGAUCUGUGCAGCAUCGACAGUACUGCCUAAUGAGGUUUCACCAUAAUGAAGUAUCACAACCAGUUUACAGACCAGAAAACUGAGACACAGGAAGGGGUGGUGACUUGAGCAAGGUGCAUCAGCUGGCUGAAAAUAUAGAUGAACUCAGGGAGAUUCAUCUGUGCACGCCAGAGUCUGUUGUGUCACAGAGAGGGCCACGGGCCACUGAUACAGGGACUUGUGUGAAAGAAAGUGGGAGAAGGGAAGGGAGAAAGUGAGAAGGGAGGAAGAGAAAAGAGAGAGAAACCAGCCACCAUCUGCCAGCCAACCUUCUCCCAGCACCUUGCAUACUGUGCUCUGCUUAACCAUAAGCUGAUCCCUGUGACACAAAGAUUUAAGGCCCUUUGAAAUGCAUUCAGUGAACAGGAGAGGAGGAUGCCUCUUGCAUGUUAUGUGCAUCUUCCUGUUGGCAAGAGUGACCAGGCAACUCAUUUGUGGCUUUAUCUGCUUUUGUGCACCCAAUAAAUAGUAUCUUACUUGAGACAACAAAAA